Molecule: ribosomal RNA, 305 nt
Filed under: uncultured bacterium
Lineage: Bacteria
Description: bacterial SSU rRNA
Rfam family: Bacterial small subunit ribosomal RNA
Source: RNAcentral
UUGCCUACGGGGCGCAGCAGUGAGGAAUAUUGGUCAAUGGGCGAGAGCCUGAACCAGCCAAGUCGCGUGAGGGAAGACGGUCCUAUGGAUUGUAAACCUCUUUUGCCGGGGAGCAAAAAGCGGUACGUGUACCGCAUCGAGAGUACCCGGAGAAAAAGCAUCGGCUAACUCCGUGCCAGCAGCCGCGGUAAUACGGAGGAUGCGAGCGUUAUCCGGAUUUAUUGGGUUUAAAGGGUGCGCAGGCGGAGGUGCAAGUCAGCGGUCAAAUUGCGGGGCUCAACCCCGUACUGCCGUUGAAACUGUAU